UUGUUCAGUGACUUCAUUGUGUUGUGUGUGUUCCUUCGUGCUUUCUUCGUAAAUAGACUAUUUUCCUCAAAAACAGUGUUUGCGGGCCGAUGUUGUCCUUAAAGACCAUUGGAGGUCCUGAGGCCAAGACCAAAGUUGGGGUUUCGGGCUUCAAACGUUCCCAAAAUCGGCCAGAAUCUCUCAUAAGGACUGAACUCAUAUCCUUUUGGAGGCUUUGGUGGUGACGGGGCAAGCAGGUCCGGAAUGUCCGGAUGUCGAGGUCCACUCUCGGGCGCUACAUGUCUGCAACCAACCCUCCCUGCAAUUGAAAGCGUCUUCCGAUCCAAUUUCUUCGAGAGCUCCUCGUUCGGGAGAGUCUGCCGUCAGGUUAGCAAGCCAGGGCUGCGGAUGCUAGAUUGCCUGGCUGUAGCACCCUGGUGUACUAUCACUGACGUUGGCUCUCACCCUUGGAGGCCUUGUUGGACGAAGCCAAAGAGGCCAAUUGACAGUGCACUCAGAAUACUGAGGAACCAAGUCAAGACUGCAGACACCAUAAAAGGGAACGUUUUGAAGACCUCCCCCAAUUAGGAAAGCAAACUUCAUCAUCACCAGCAAGCCGAGACAUCAUGGAGCCACCCUGCUCAAGACCAGGCUGUGCAUGACCUUCAAUAAGGCCGAGUGAGGAAGAAAGAGAGGAAAAGGAGAAGAAGAAGAAGAUGGUAAGUCCCGAGGGGCCCGUUAGGGAGCAUGCCGGCGGAUGAGACUCCAACAGAU
This is a long non-coding RNA of Neocloeon triangulifer, 753 nucleotides long. RefSeq lists it as uncharacterized. The record is from RefSeq and is a predicted model, not a curated record. The transcript has 4 exons. Lineage: Eukaryota; Metazoa; Arthropoda; Insecta; Ephemeroptera; Baetidae.